RNAcentral lists this non-coding RNA (30 nucleotides) under Rattus norvegicus (Norway rat). The record is from RNAcentral. Lineage: Eukaryota; Metazoa; Chordata; Mammalia; Rodentia; Muridae.
UGGAAAAAAAGAAAAAAGCCAGAAGGUGGU